This 467-nucleotide ribosomal RNA is filed under the name uncultured bacterium. RNAcentral describes it as "partial 16S ribosomal RNA". It matches the Rfam family "Bacterial small subunit ribosomal RNA", at positions 28 to 507 of the family's 1533-position model. The record is from RNAcentral.
GACGAACGCUGGCGGCGUGCUUAACACAUGCAAGUCGAACGGAAAGGCUCCAGCUUGCUGGAGUACUCGAGUGGCGAACGGGUGAGUAACACGUGGGUAAUCUGCCCUGCACUCUGGGAUAAGUCUGGGAAACUGGGUCUAAUACUGGAUAUGACCUUUCUCCUUAUGGGGUUUGGUGGAAAGUUUUUCGGUGUAGGAUGAGCCCGCGGCCUAUCAGCUUGUUGGUGGGGUGAUGGCCUACCAAGGCGACGACGGGUAGCCGGCCUGAGAGGGUGAUCGGCCACAUUGGGACUGAGAUACGGCCCAGACUCCUACGGGAGGCAGCAGUGGGGAAUAUUGCACAAUGGGCGGAAGCCUGAUGCAGCGACGCCGCGUGAGGGAUGACGGCCUUCGGGUUGUAAACCUCUUUCGGCAGUGACGAAGCGUAAGUGACGGUACCUGCAGAAGAAGCACCGGCUAACUAUGUG